AGAGUUUGAUCCUGGCUCAGGAUGAACGCUAGCGGGAGGCUUAACACAUGCAAGUCGAGGGGCAGCAUUUCCUUCGGGAAGAUGGCGACCGGCGCACGGGUGCGUAACGCGUAUGCAACCUACCUUAUACAGGGGGAUAGCCCAUGGAAACGUGGAUUAAUACCCUAUCGAACAGUAAUAUCGCCUGUUAUAACUGUUAAAACUUCGGUGGUAUAAGAUGGGCAUGCGUAGGAUUAGCUAGUAGGUAGUGUAACGGACUACCUAGGCAACGAUCCUUAGGGGUUCUGAGAGGAUUAUCCCCCACACUGGUACUGAGACACGGACCAGACUCCUACGGGAGGCAGCAGUGAGGAAUAUUGGUCAAUGGGCGCGAGCCUGAACCAGCCAUCCCGCGUGCAGGAUGACGGCCCUAUGGGUUGUAAACUGCUUUUUUUGCGCCAAGAAACCUGUCUACGUGUAGACAGCUGACGGUAGCGUAAGAAUAAGCAUCGGCUAACUCCGUGCCAGCAGCCGCGGUAAUACGGAGGAUGCAAGCGUUAUCCGGAUUCAUUGGGUUUAAAGGGUGCGCAGGUGGGAAUGUAAGUCAGUGGUGAAAUUCUGCCGCUUAACGGUAGAACUGCCAUUGAUACUGCGUUUCUUGAGUAUGGUUGAGGUAGGCGGAAUGUGUUGUGUAGCGGUGAAAUGCAUAGAUAUGACACAGAACGCCGAUUGCGAAGGCAGCUUACUAAGCCAUUACUGACACUGAGGCACGAAAGCGUGGGGAGCGAACAGGAUUAGAUACCCUGGUAGUCCACGCCGUAAACGAUGUUCACUCGCUGUUUGCGAUACACAGCAAGCGGCUGAGCGAAAGCAUUAAGUGAACCACCUGGGGAGUACGAUCGCAAGGUUGAAACUCAAAGGAAUUGACGGGGGCCCGCACAAGCGGAGGAACAUGUGGUUUAAUUCGAUGAUACGCGAGGAACCUUACCUGGGCUUAAAUGUAGAUUGCAUAAUUUAGAAAUAGAUUUUCCCUUCGGGCUAUUUACAAGGUGCUGCAUGGUUGUCGUCAGCUCGUGCCGUGAGGUGUCGGGUUAAGUCCCAUAACGAGCGCAACCCCUAUCGUUAGUUGCCAGCGGGUCAAGCCGGGGACUCUAGCGAGACUGCCACCGUAAGGUGAGAGGAAGGUGGGGAUGACGUCAAAUCAGCACGGCCCUUAUGUCCAGGGCUACACACGUGUUACAAUGGCAGGUACAAAGGGCAGCUACCGGGUGACCGGAUGCUAAUCUCUAAAGCCUGUCCCAGUUCGGAUUGGAGUCUGCAACCUGACUCCAUGAAGUUGGAUUCGCUAGUAAUCGGAUAUCAGCCAUGAUCCGGUGAAUACGUUCCCGGGCCUUGUACACACCGCCCGUCAAACCAUGGGAGCUGGGGGUGCCUGAAGUCUGCGACCGCAAGGAGCGGCCUAGGGUAAAACUAGUGACUGGGGUUAAGUCGGAACAAGGUA
RNAcentral lists this ribosomal RNA (1480 nucleotides) under metagenome. Its description in RNAcentral is "bacterial SSU rRNA". It matches the Rfam family "Bacterial small subunit ribosomal RNA". The record is from RNAcentral.